CCUACGGGACGCAGCAGUAGGGAAUUUUCGUCAAUGGGCGCAAGCCUGAACGAGCAAUGCCGCGUGAACGAGGAAGGUCUUCGGAUCGUAAAGUUCUGUUGAAGGGGAAAAAGAGCGGAGAGAGGAAAUGAACUCCGAUUGAUAUUACCCUUCGAGGAAGUCACGGCUAACUACGUGCCAGCAGCCGCGGUAAUACGUAGGGGGCAAGCGUUGUCCGGAAUUAUUGGGCGUAAAGAGUACGUAGGCGGUCUGUUAAGCGCAAGGUGAAAGGCAUAGGCUCAACCAAUGUGAGCCUUGCGAACUGG
RNAcentral lists this ribosomal RNA (305 nucleotides) under uncultured bacterium. RNAcentral describes it as "bacterial SSU rRNA". It matches the Rfam family "Bacterial small subunit ribosomal RNA", at positions 338 to 636 of the family's 1533-position model. The record is from RNAcentral.